ACAGGGAUUGCCCUAGUAACGGCGAGUGAAGCGGCAACAGCUCAAAUUUGAAAUCUGGCGUCUUUGGCGUCCGAGUUGUAAUUUGCAGAGGGCGCUUUGGCAUUGGCAGCGGUCCAAGUUCCUUGGAACAGGACGUCACAGAGGGUGAGAAUCCCGUACGUGGUCGCUAGCCUUUACCGUGUAAAGCCCCUUCGACGAGUCGAGUUGUUUGGGAAUGCAGCUCUAAAUGGGAGGUAAAUUUCUUCUAAAGCUAAAUACUGGCCAGAGACCGAUAGCGCACAAGUAGAGUGAUCGAAAGAUGAAAAGCACUUUGGAAAGAGAGUUAAAAAGCACGUGAAAUUGUUGAAAGGGAAGCGCUUGCAGCCAGACUUGCCUGUAGUUGCUCAUCCGGGUUUUUACCCGGUGCACUCUUCUACGGGCAGGCCAGCAUCAGUUUGGGCGGUUGGAUAAAGGUCUCUGUCACGUACCUCCUCUCGGGGAGAUCUUAUAGGGGAGACGACAUGCAACCAGCCUGGACUGAGGUCCGCGCAUCUGCUAGGAUGCUGGCGUAAUGGCUGUAAGCGGCCCGUCUUGAAACACGGACCAAGGAGUCUAACAUCUAUGCGAGUGUUUGGGUGUCAAGCCCGAGCGCGUAAUGAAAGUGAACGGAGGUGGGAACCUUUCGGGGUGCACCAUCGACCGAUCCUGAUGUCUUCGGAUGGAUUUGAGUAAGAGCAUAGCUGUUGGGACCCGAAAGAUGGUGAACUAUGCUUGAAUAGGGUGAAGCCAGAGGAAACUCUGGUGGAGGCUCGCAGCGGUUCUGACGUGCAAAUCGAUCGUCAAAUUUGGGCA
This 831-nucleotide ribosomal RNA is filed under the name Epicoccum nigrum. Its description in RNAcentral is "partial large subunit ribosomal RNA". It matches the Rfam family "Eukaryotic large subunit ribosomal RNA", at positions 68 to 917 of the family's 3401-position model. The record is from RNAcentral. Lineage: Eukaryota; Fungi; Ascomycota; Dothideomycetes; Pleosporales; Didymellaceae.